RNAcentral lists this ribosomal RNA (252 nucleotides) under uncultured bacterium. RNAcentral's name for it is "partial 16S ribosomal RNA". It matches the Rfam family "Bacterial small subunit ribosomal RNA", at positions 524 to 776 of the family's 1533-position model. The record is from RNAcentral.
UACGUAGGAGGCAAGCGUUGUCCGGAAUCACUGGGCGUAAAGCGCGUGUAGGUGGUGCGACAAGUCUGCUGUGAAAGCGCCUGGCUUAACCGGGCGAGGUCGGCGGAAACUGACGUACUGGAGGCCGGUAGAGGGGGGUGGAAUCCCGGUGUAGUGGUGAAAUGCGUAGAGAUCGGGAGGAACACCAGUGGCGAAGGCGGCCCCCUGGGCCGGGCCUGACACUGAGACGCGAAGGCGUGGGGAGCGAACGGG